Molecule: transfer RNA, 73 nt
Filed under: Ailuropoda melanoleuca (giant panda)
Lineage: Eukaryota; Metazoa; Chordata; Mammalia; Carnivora; Ursidae
Rfam family: tRNA
About the family: Transfer RNA (tRNA) molecules are approximately 80 nucleotides in length. Their secondary structure includes four short double-helical elements and three loops (D, anti-codon, and T loops).
Source: Rfam by way of RNAcentral
GCCUGUCUGGCUCAGUCAGUAGAGCAUGCAGUUCUUGAUUUCAAGGUCGUGAGUUCGAGCCCCACGUUGGGCA